AAAAGAGAAAAUUCGUGAAAAAUAGAAAAUCAGUGAAAUAAAAUAUGGAAAAAUGAAAAUCAAAUGAAGAAAAAUAAAAGAGAAUUUUAGAAAUUAUUUUGGGAUAUUUUGGAUAAAAAUGAAACUACUAUGAAUUUUUUAAGAAAAAGAAAUUAAAAAUAAUAAAAGAAAAAUAAUUAUAAUCAGAAAAAAUGCAGAGCUUUGG
RNAcentral lists this long non-coding RNA (205 nucleotides) under Lathyrus oleraceus (garden pea). RNAcentral describes it as "Pisum sativum (pea) long non-coding RNA (PSAT_LNC038820)". The record is from RNAcentral. Lineage: Eukaryota; Viridiplantae; Streptophyta; Magnoliopsida; Fabales; Fabaceae.